GGAGUCUAGCAUGUGCGCGAGUCAUUGGGAUUCGUAGCUAAACCUAAAGGCGAAAUGAAAGUGAAGGCGCGCCUCGCGCGCGCCGAGGGAGGAUGGGCUUGGCUCCGUGCCUCGCCCCGCACUCCCGGGGCGUCUCGUUCUCAUCGCGAGAAGAGGCGCACCCAGAGCGUACACGCUGGGACCCGAAAGAUGGUGAACUAUGCCUGGUCAGGACGAAGUCAGGGGAAACCCUGAUGGAGGUCCGUAGCGAUUCUGACGUGCAAAUCGAUCGUCGGAACUGGGUAUAGGGGCGAAAGACUAAUCGAACCAUCUAGUAGCUGGUUCCCUCCGAAGUUUCCCUCAGGAUAGCUGGCGCUCGCUUUUGCGAGUCUCAUCCGGUAAAGCGAAUGAUUAGAGGCAUUGGGGUCGAAACGGCCUCAACCUAUUCUCAAACUUUAAAUGGGUGAGAUCUCCGGCUUGCUUAAAUUUUAUUUAUGAAGCCGCGAGAUCGGAUCAGAGUGCCAAGUGGGCCAUUUUUGGUAAGCAGAACUGGCGCUGUGGGAUGAACCAAACGCGGAGUUAAAGCGCCUAAAUCGACGCUUAUGGGAUACCAUGAAAGGCGUUGGUAACUUAAGACAGCAGGACGGUGGCCAUGGAA
Molecule: ribosomal RNA, 637 nt
Filed under: Adelocera sp. UPOL RK0065
Lineage: Eukaryota; Metazoa; Arthropoda; Insecta; Coleoptera; Elateridae
Description: eukaryotic LSU rRNA
Rfam family: Eukaryotic large subunit ribosomal RNA
Source: RNAcentral